UACGUAGGGUGCAAGCGUUGUCCGGAAUUAUUGGGCGUAAAGAGCGCGUAGGCGGUCCGAUAAGUCGGCUGUGAAAGUCAUGGGCUCAACCCAUGAAAGCCGGCCGAUACUGUCGGACUAGAGUCCGGAAGAGGCGAGUGGAAUUCCCGGUGUAGCGGUGAAAUGCGCAGAUAUCGGGAGGAACACCAAUGGCGAAGGCAGCUCGCUGGGACGGUACUGACGCUGAGGCGCGAAAGCGUGGGGAGCAAACAGG
RNAcentral lists this ribosomal RNA (253 nucleotides) under uncultured bacterium. RNAcentral's name for it is "partial 16S ribosomal RNA". It matches the Rfam family "Bacterial small subunit ribosomal RNA", at positions 524 to 776 of the family's 1533-position model. The record is from RNAcentral.